GACGAACGCUGGCGGCGUGCCUAAUACAUGCAAGUUGAGCGCUGAAGGUUGGUACUUGUACCGACUGGAUGAGCAGCGAACGGGUGAGUAACGCGUGGGGAAUCUGCCUUUGAGCGGGGGACAACAUUUGGAAACGAAUGCUAAUACCGCAUAAAAACUUUAAACACAAGUUUUAAGUUUGAAAGAUGCAAUUGCAUCACUCAAAGAUGAUCCCGCGUUGUAUUAGCUAGUUGGUGAGGUAAAGGCUCACCAAGGCGAUGAUACAUAGCCGACCUGAGAGGGUGAGCGGCCACAUUGGGACUGAGACACGGCCCAAACUCCUACGGGAAGCAGCAGUAGGGAAUCAUCGGCAAUGGACGAAAGUCAGAACGAGCAACGCCGCGUGAGUGAAGAAGGUUGUCGGAUCGUAAAACGCUGUUGGUAGAGGAGAACGUUGGUGGGAGUAGAAAGCUCAUCAAGUGACGGUAACUACCCAGAAAGGGACGGCUAACUACGUG
RNAcentral lists this ribosomal RNA (497 nucleotides) under uncultured bacterium. Its description in RNAcentral is "partial 16S ribosomal RNA". It matches the Rfam family "Bacterial small subunit ribosomal RNA", at positions 28 to 507 of the family's 1533-position model. The record is from RNAcentral.